AGGACGAACGCUGGCGGCGUGCCUAAUACAUGCAAGUCGAGCGGAUUGUUCCUUCGGGGACAGUUAGCGGCGGACGGGUGAGUAACACGUAGGCAACCUGCCUGUAGGAUCGGGAUAACUACCGGAAACGGUUGCUAAUACCCCAUAUGCUGAGGAGCAAAAGGAGGAAUCCGCCCAAGGAGGGUCUUGCGUCUGAUUAGCUAGUUGGUGAGGUAAUGGCUCACCAAGGCAACGAUCAGUAGCUGGUCUGAGAGGAUGAUCAGCCACACUGGGACUGAGACACGGCCCAGACUCUUACGGGAGGCAGCAGUGGGGAAUUUUCCGCAAUGGGCGAAAGCCUGACGGAGCAAUGCCGCGUGGAGGUAGAAGGCUCACGGGUCGUAAACUCCUUUUCUCAGAGAAGAUGCAAUGACGGUAUCUGAGGAAUAAGCAUCGGCUAACUCUGUGCCAGCAGCCGC
RNAcentral lists this ribosomal RNA (458 nucleotides) under uncultured bacterium. Its description in RNAcentral is "SSU rRNA". It matches the Rfam family "Bacterial small subunit ribosomal RNA", at positions 26 to 518 of the family's 1533-position model. The record is from RNAcentral.